GAGAAAGGAAAUGAGAAAGCUCUUAAAUGUUCGGUCACUUGGGGAAGAAAAUUGAAGGUAAGUUCAUGGUAGUUUGCUUUUAUUUUGAGGUUCAUGAGUUCUUCUUGAUUCUACCUUAACUCUUGAAGCAUAUUUUGGUUUUUAGUUGUGUUGUGAGCAUUUAGUCAUGAAUUAAAAUGAAGGAAAUGGUUGUUGUUUCAUGUUCUUUUGAUGAAAAUGGAAGAUAGGUGAAGUUGAGCCAAACAAAUGAGCAUGCAUGUGCCUUAGAUGUUAAAGGGAAAAAUCGGCUAACAUGUUGUGCUUUAAAAUGAUGAAAUGGAGAUUAUAAUUAAGUAAAAUCAUAGAUAUGUGAUUAUUGAUUGGUGAUAUACAUGUUUAAAUAACAUGCAUGCAAGUUAUGUGUGAAAGAGUGAUUUGGUAAUAAAUCUGCUUGGGACAGCAGCAGUAACGUGACUUUGGAAAAUCACCAUAAAUUGUGAGAGAUGAGUUAGAAGGUGAAUAAAUUAUGUAAUUAAAGGUUAAUGAGUCUAGUUUCAAAUGAAAUAAAUGAGAACAUAUUUUGAAUUCUGUACAAUGAUAAAUUUGUUUCGUAAAGAAGAGUGGUCAGAUUAGUCAAAUAGUGAAACAUGGGAAACUUUGACAAAAAUCUGGUAUUGAUUGGCCAAACCAAAAAUUCUGAAAAUUUUAUGGAUAGAAGAUAUAUGAGUCUAUUUUCAGGGAAAAUUAACGCCACUUGAAUUGGAGUUUCGUACCUCCAGUUAAUAAUAAUUUAGUGACUGUUGCUCAGGAAGACAGCUUGCAGUGAAAUUAUGAUUAUGUGGUAAAUAUUGACAAAAAUUUGUUAAUGAGUUGCUUAUUGUUUUCUUAUAAGCUUACUAUGAUCUGUAGGUGUGGUUGGCCGAAUAUUGUAAGGGGUUAAUACGUAGUUUAUAUUUGAAUAGUUAGAUUAACGUGUUAGUAAUCCAAUUUUAGGCGGUUCGUGUGUGGAUCUCAUUAGCAUAUCGUCGCAAACAGGUGUGUAACUGACACCCUCUCAUAGACUAGAUUGGCAAGAGCCGAAAUGCCGAAAAGUCGGUAUUUUGGGAUUUUGCGAGUGUGCGAAUGCUCGUAAGAUAGUUGGGUUUGUAUAUUUGGUAAUCUAAAGUAAUAAACUGCAAUACGCGUAAUUUCGUACAUUUUGAUAAUUUGGGCUUAAUGGGCCAAAGAUCGGUUCAUGGGCCAACGGGCCCAAUUUGGUAAGUAUGCGCGGUAAGUGGUCUGAUAGUAUGUAAAUAGUUAGGAUAUGGAUGAAAACCCUAAAAGCAGCUAAAUUACUAUAAUACCCCUAUGUAUGGAAAAUUACUGUUAUACCCCUAGGUGCAAAAUUACCUUUAUACCCUUAGGGUUAAUUUUGACUGAAAAGCAUGACGAUCUGAUUCUGUAUGAUGUAUGCCAUGAUUAUAUAUCUGUUACAUGGGGACAUGGGUUAUAUUAUGGAGGAAGCAUCCUGGUGGCUAUGCCACAAUUAUCUGAUCUGGUGGCUCUGCCACAUAUAUCUGUUCUGGUGGCUAUGCCACGAUUAUCUGAUCUGGUCGCUCUGCCACAUAUAUCUGUUUUGGUGGCUAUGUCACGAUUAUCUGAUCCUGAUCUGGUGGCUCUGCCACAUAUAUCUGUUCUGGUGGCUCUGCCACAAUAUCUGUAUCUGGUGACUUCGUCACAAUAUCUGGCUGUCUCGCUGCGAUUUCUGUGGUGUGUAGCGGUUUGGUGGGUCGAGUAGUCUCCCCACAUGGUGUAAGGCUGGUACGGGGGUGUUAUGGAUGAAUCUGGGUUGGGAUUUCUACAUUCAUGUAAUAUCUGUUCUGAUCUGUUAUGGGCCUAUGGGCUUUAUUCUAAAUUUCUAUUCUGGGCUAAGGCCAACUUAUUCUGUUUCUGUGGUUUGAGCUGAUAUAGGCUAUGGUUGGGUUAAUUUACACACUGAGUUUCCCCAAACUCAUCCCUUUUAUUUUCUUCCACGCAGGUAAUCCCCAACCAUAGUGGGCUUGGAGCUGUGAGGGAAUUCGGAGUGGCCACCCGUUCUGAAAGUUUGAUUUUCUUCUAGUGAACUGGACAUCCUUUUAUUUACGUUUGAAGUUUUGGGUUUUAAAUGUAAUAAGGCCGCUUAAUUAUUUUUGAUGGUUUUAAUAUGUAUUACUAAGAUAGGUAUUACUUA
This 2188-nucleotide long non-coding RNA is filed under the name Gossypium barbadense (sea-island cotton). RNAcentral's name for it is "long non-coding RNA (GBAR_LNC010362)". Lineage: Eukaryota; Viridiplantae; Streptophyta; Magnoliopsida; Malvales; Malvaceae. The record is from RNAcentral.